GAUGAACGCUGGCGGCGUGCUUAACACAUGCCAGUCGAACGAAGCACUUUAUUUGAUUUCCUUCGGGACUGAUUAUUUUGUGACUGAGUGGCGGACGGGUGAGUAACGCGUGGGUAACCUGCCUUGUACAGGGGGAUAACAGUUGGAAACGGCUGCUAAUACCGCAUAAGCGCACAGCAUCGCAUGAUGCAGUGUGAAAAACUCCGGUGGUAUAAGAUGGACCCGCGUUGGAUUAGCUAGUUGGUGAGGUAACGGCCCACCAAGGCGACGAUCCAUAGCCGACCUGAUAGGGUGACCGGCCACAUUGGGACUGAGACACGGCCCAAACUCCUACGGGAGGCAGCAGUGGGGAAUAUUGCACAAUGGGCGAAAGCCUGAUGCAGCGACGCCGCGUGAGCGAAGAAGUAUUUCGGUAUGUAAAGCUCUAUCAGCAGGGAAGAUAAUGACGUUACCUGACUAAGAAGCACCGGCUAAAUACGU
This 480-nucleotide ribosomal RNA is filed under the name uncultured bacterium. RNAcentral's name for it is "partial 16S ribosomal RNA". It matches the Rfam family "Bacterial small subunit ribosomal RNA", at positions 28 to 506 of the family's 1533-position model. The record is from RNAcentral.